GCUUUCUUCGAGUGAACUUGGGGUUGUCCGUGCGGGGCUCGGCACAAGAUCGCGUAACGAUUUGGCGAGGCGUGCGCGAGUGACGCGCGGCGCUUUCGGCCGCUCCCUCUCUUUGUUCUGCGCGCGGGUGUCGAGACACGGAGACAGCACAGGUGUGCCCGAAGAAUCGUCACGGAGUUUGGAAAACGCUCAGGUGCUGGGAGUCGCUUUGGUGACGACACUGAAAUGAACGUCAUCUUACCACGAUCGCGAUCAUCGCCAAAAUUACCCAAAGUCACGGAUCAUCAUCAUCCUACACCACCACUCGUCACCACAAUGAUCUUCAAACAACAUCAAUCAUCAAUCAACGAUCUCAAUGUGAAGAAAAGCAAACUCCGUGACACAAUUGGAGUUGCCCUCGUAUGAUUGUGCAUCUGCGUGGUUGUUCAGGAGGUUUAAAGCGCGUGAAUGGCUAUCCGAAGGUUUCUGAGUUCGGAUCGUGGUCAGGGGUAAACUCGGCCCCAUCAUCCUUGCAUUAUUAUCCAUAAUAGAGGUUUUUUUGGGUUUCGAUCACUUCAAUAUAAAUGUGUCCUUAACCCGCCACCACCCAACACAGCUAGUAAGCAAGGUCUAUCACGAAACCAGUGUGUUGGAGAGUAAAGCCACAACAUUAACAAUUUGAGUACAAAUUAUAACCCAAAAAACCUUUAUUACGGAUAAAUGAGUGCUUUGUUGUAGCAGGUGGUUGCCAUGUGAAGAGACUGACUCCCUGCAAUGGGAAUGUGGAAUUGACACCACUGGCUGUUGGCCUGCUCACCCGGGUGGGUGUCGCCCCACUGCCGCUGCGAGCUGAGAGACACAUCUUGUCCUGGAGAGGUGAAGUCCUAACAGACGCACUCACCGACUCGGGGGGAGUUUUUCCCCAAUAACCAGCAGCAAAGACGCUGCCAGAAGCACACGUGACAUCGUGCCCAAGUCGUAGUUUGUCAGGGGGAGCCAGGACACCCUCGUGGAGUUGAACACGUCUUGUUGUUGUUGUUUCUACUUUUUACAAAUGCUUCCAUUCGUUUUUUUGUGCAUUAAACAUGUAACAUCUGCAGUUUUUGGUCCGCGCCGCGUGCCGUUCAUAAUUUAUGCCCCAAAGUUUCGCUCCACACUCCGGCAGCUUCUUCGGGAGCCGAAUAAGAAGCUCCCAGCGCAUGGCGCGAAACGUUGGACGUCGUGCCGAAACAGCACAAUAGCGGCACAACCCCAAAAGCCUAUCGGAGACCCACGCAGCGCAACCCCUGCGAUUACCACCGCAGGGGUACAUACCACCAGCGCUCAGAAUGACAUUGAAAAUUCACUUCCUUAGAAGUUAUUUUUGUGUUUAGUUUGUUGUCCUUCCCCCGCACCUCCGGUUAGCACGGUUGGCUACGUACGGCGCGAAGGAAGUUCAACAUACAUACUGCACGACAUGGGCUCGGUCGGUAGCCACGUGCAGGGCGUAACACACGUGCGCGCGCGCGCGGGUAUAAAACACUGCGACAGUGUUGGUGUGCGGAAGAAGUCAACGUGACCGACUUGGGCGCGUAGAACAGAGUGCCCUUUUAGCCCCGAGAUUAAAUUCUCGCCGGCGUUAUGGAACAAGGGCGGCAACGUUGGCUGGGUCGGGGCGAGGUCAGGUGGAAUAUCCUGAAGGCGUGCGGCGUCAGCGGCGGCGGCGUAGCAGGUGGCCGGGGCGUUCCGCGGAGUGGUGCGGACGCCGCGGAGCGAGCAUAAGCGAGGACCCAAAAAAAAAACUUCUUGGGGAAAAAGGUGGAAUAAGCCACAGGUUUGUCUCUACGCUCAGCCGGGCGUCCGAACGGAGGGCCCGCCGAGUGCGCAGGGUUCGGAGGAGAUGCGUCGAACGUUUAAAGUCGCUGAGGCCAAUGUAUUUGAUUGCCUCUUGCCCGAGAGAGCCGCGUGCCGUGUCAGUGGGGCCCGCAGCCACUCGCGCUGCUGGUGGUGAGACGCUUUGGCGUUAUUCGUGGUGAAUCGUGAUGUUUGACGGGCUGCAAUGCAACUGAACAUCUAACCGUUCGAUGAAUUGCCACGAAUUUGAUUCAUUCUAUCAUGAGACCUCCUUUGCCAGUAUUCAAUUAUGAUGGUAGGGUUUUCCCAUUUCUGGCAAUAAAACAGGUGUGUUAAGAUGUUGAAACACCAAACUGAAACCUUUGCAGGGAAUCAUGAAUCAUGUCUGCAUUAACCACAUAUACUUGUGGUGAAUAUGCAAUUUUUUUAAAUUCAUAAUUCUCGAGAACUGAUUAUGUUUUUGCCACUGUGAUGCAUUUAGCGCCUCCUGUGGCUGCGGUGUUCAGGUGAAUGAAAUACUUUCACCCAAUACACAUCGACAAUAAUCAAUUAUUUCAUUAUGAUUCGAUACAUUCAUUGUGGGCAUGGCAUGUUGCAAAUUUGUUUCAAUUUGCGCAUUCAGCAUCGUGUCGUGGCAUUCAGCAUCGUGUCGUGGGAUGAAGAAGCUUUUCAUAAAUAUUCCAGGGCCGUGUGACGCUGCGUUCGAGACGUUCCAUCGGACUACUCCCAGAAAAAAAAUCGAUCAGGUGGCCAAAUCAUCUUUUAUCCAGUAGGGGUCACACCAUCUCGUACACUCCACCAUGAGAUUUUUAACUACCUUACAUUUUAAAAAAUGUCAGUGCCGGUGACCGCGCUGACCCGGUGACCUCACUGUACCCUUGAGAACCCAGUUUAAUAACGGGCGAUGGAAACCCCAGAUUCAAAACCAGGAACUCAGUGGUGCCGGAUCGGCACUCUGACCUCCAAGCCACCUGUCCACCUCAGCUGCGAGGUCUCUUUGCGAGCCGUGUGCUCGGCAGCUCGGCUUCAACGCGCGUCCCUUCCCGCGGCUCACAGCUGCGUACAGCUUCUCCGCAGCGGCGAUUGAGAGGUCAUCUAAGAAAGCAAAACAAAAGCCAACGUCUUACUGCGCGAGGGCUUAGCGUAGCCAGAAGCCUCCCGUUCAAACGCCCGGAGCAAUUCCUCUGCCCCUUUUCUGGGCUUCUAAGCACACCGCGCGGGAGAAUGUGUCACCGCGGGUAUUAAAAGCGAGGACACGUGAGCGCGCCGUACGGAAAGUGCGCUUUGUGAACGGCUGUCUUGGAGACCCAGUCAUGCUUGGCCUUCAUGCCUUUAUGCUCGCGUGUGGCCUUGUCAGCCACAGAGACUUCGGGAAUUCUUCCGCUUUUGUGAAGUCUGUGUUUGUUAUCAAGUGCCGUGCGGGGUGGGGGAGGACUCGAUGCUGGAUUAUGGAUGAUGGCCUUGCGUUUCACUCUGUAAAGCGGCUCAUACCUGCUCAGCCCUGCUCUUAGUGUGUCCACCUGUCGGACAAAAUAAAAUUUCGUUCUCUCCAAAAAGGACGCAACAUUU
Molecule: long non-coding RNA, 3381 nt
Organism: Lethenteron reissneri (Far Eastern brook lamprey)
Lineage: Eukaryota; Metazoa; Chordata; Hyperoartia; Petromyzontiformes; Petromyzontidae
Source: RefSeq, a predicted model, not a curated record